AAAAUCCUUAGUUUUAUGCACUAUAUUUGGUUUAACAAUUAAAAUAGAUCGCUUCUGAUUCUGGUCCAGUUCCAUUAUCUGACCUCAGCACCAGAAGUAGCAGCAAUAUCUAAGCUGGAAGUUUAAACUUAAAAAUAUUUUUAGUAAAACUUCGCUAGAUAAUGUCAAGGAGAUAUUCUUCCUGUGUAGUCAGUGAAAAUUAUCCCCAGAAUAAACCCUUCAGCAUUAUUAGCAAAGUUUAUGGAAGGAAAUAUAGCUUAUCCUUAUAACUUACUAGAACCCAUCCAAGAAAGCAGCAUCACGCCAAAUUAUGCAAAUCAGAUUUUUCUCCCUCUCCAACCUGCUAUUCUUUAUCUUGUCUGUAUUUAAAUAUUCCCUCCUUUUGACUUACUAUUUUCUGAAAGCUGAAAGCUAUAGAGUUUCAUUGCUACUCUUCCUACACGCUUUAAAAAAGACAUAAGGAUUGAAUCUAGAAGGGUAGUUCAUCUGUUUUAAUGUAUUUUCUGUAACAAUACACACAUUUCUUACUGCUAUACAAUGGUUUAACCAUUUACUUGAGCUGCUACAUCUUUUGUAAGGCAAGACAUGCUAUUAGCAGCAUGUGUCCUUGAAUAAUGCAUUUUACUUUAAAAACUCAUUUGAAAGAAUAUACAAGCUUAGUAUUAAAUGUGGUGAGUUUCUGUGCAUUGUGAUUGCUGUAAAAAUUUGUUUCCUUUUGUCCUGGUCUUGCUCAGGUUGAGAUUCACAGCUCCUGCUCUGUGCAGGGGGGUCCUCGCCCAGGGGCGCACAGAAGCCGCAGCAUGCAGUAGGACGGGUCAGCCAGAGGUGGACCAUAGUUUUUAACAGAGUUAUGAAGGCAGAGGGGGGUUAGAGUUUCGCCAGUAAGUGCUGAGAGACCAUAUCAGGCACAGCAUUUCAGGAACACAUAAGUAUUUCCAUGCACAUGAGAAAGUCAUGAAGGCAGAAAACUUUGCAGAUGGGGAUGCCGUAGAGCUCAAGGGGAGAUAAGGAGGAAUCAGACAGAGCUCCCACCAUCAGACACCAUGGCUUAAAACCACUACAACAACUUUCCUUUCUGCAGCGAGCAAAGCUUUUACUUCUAAUCCUCCAGGGCUCCUAGCUAGAUGUGGUGGCAGCUGUUCACGCCAUGAUGCGGUGACAGAAGAAUUUUAAAUAUGACGUUUUUGAAUCUGGAAAAAGCCUCCAUUCUUCAAGUAGCUUCCCUUUCUGGCCACCUUAGGCAGUUGGUUGCUGCACAGUUUGCACAGCUGUGAAGGUCUCCAUUUUAGAUACAUUUUAGACAGCUACUGAGUCAGAGUGAGUAGAAAUGGAUAAAGCAAUGAAUCUUGAAUAAAACAUAUAAAGAUAAACUUAGGUUUCUACAUUGGAUAUAUCCUUACACUGGCACUGUGACUUAAAUAUCACUAAAGCUGAUAGGCAUAAAUGCUACCCUCAUCUUGGUGCAUGAGAGAAGUACAAACUAGGCUCAUCCUCUAGCAAGCAUCAUGUACAAGAAGAAAACUCGCGUUGACAAGCCACUUUGUGUCACAUAUUGCCUAAAACUGGCAUCUGUGGAAAACAUGUACAGACUCACAGGGAAGAAAGUCAUCAUUGGGAAAAAAAAGAAAAGAAAAAAAACUCUUCUGAGCUCAAUCUUCUAGUUCACAAACAACCCCUCAGUCUUUCAAACUCUCCAUCCAAAAAAAAAAAUAGAUAAAAAUAGAGUGGAGCACUGGCAGAUCUCACCAGAAUCAUAAGCAUCUUCUGAACAAUCUGA
Molecule: long non-coding RNA, 1777 nt
Organism: Cygnus olor (mute swan)
Lineage: Eukaryota; Metazoa; Chordata; Aves; Anseriformes; Anatidae
Exons: 3
Source: RefSeq, a predicted model, not a curated record